Cicer arietinum (chickpea) is the source of this 696-nucleotide non-coding RNA. The record is from RefSeq and is a predicted model, not a curated record. NCBI's taxonomy places the organism in Eukaryota, Viridiplantae, Streptophyta, Magnoliopsida, Fabales, Fabaceae.
UAAAAAUAAAAACUCAAAUAUUCACGUCUAAAAUAAUAUUCAAGUCCACCCAAACAAGAACAAUUCACCCUAAGUAUAUUAUUUCUUUCCUAUUUCGAUAUGAGAAGCUUUUUUCCCUAUUCUUCUCAAAUUUGCCUACUUCGAUCUCGGGAAACUUUUCCCGAUUUCUUAUCAUUUUCGAUUCUGGAUUUGAAUCUCUUUGGUUUCAGAUCUGAUAUUAUAGUUACAUCAUAUUGUUUUGCUUACUUUUAUUGAUUUUCGAUCGCAUCAUUGUUUCUUCACCUUCUCGGAGAGAUUUAUUCUACGAUGAUGUGUGACUUCCUUUUGGGGUAUUUGUCGUUCAUUUCAGAAAUUUUUCAUUACUUCAAUCACGAUCGUAAAAUCUAUCCCAUUUGUAUUUCAGGGAUUCUUAAAUUCUUAUAAUUUCUCUCAGAAAAACCAAAGCGCUCUCUUGACGUCAACCGAAGUAAUGACUCUAAGAGUCGUCCCGUUCAGCCGCCACAAAUCGUCGUUGUAAGAUAUACAUAACUAGGCGUGUUCAUGAUUAUGAGUCAUUAGCUAAGAAAGCUGAUGGUUCUCAAGGUAUGGUGGUGCUCCACGAGUUUAUUCUAUGGAUGAUUAUUUUAUGAUUAAGGACAAUACCAUUUGCCUGGAACCUCAUUACAGCUGGUUACGUUGAACAAACUGUACAUGGGG